This 84-nucleotide transfer RNA is filed under the name Araneus ventricosus. It matches the Rfam family "tRNA". From Rfam's summary of the family: Transfer RNA (tRNA) molecules are approximately 80 nucleotides in length. Their secondary structure includes four short double-helical elements and three loops (D, anti-codon, and T loops). Further hydrogen bonds mediate the characteristic L-shaped molecular structure. tRNAs have two regions of fundamental functional importance: the anti-codon, which is responsible for specific mRNA codon recognition, and the 3' end, to which the tRNAs corresponding amino acid is attached (by aminoacyl-tRNA synthetases). tRNAs cope with the degeneracy of the genetic code in two manners: having more than one tRNA (with a specific anti-codon) for a particular amino acid; and 'wobble' base-pairing, i.e. permitting non-standard base-pairing at the 3rd anti-codon position. Lineage: Eukaryota; Metazoa; Arthropoda; Arachnida; Araneae; Araneidae. The record is from Rfam by way of RNAcentral.
GUUAGGAUGGCCAAGCGGUCUAAGGCGCUGCGUUCAGGUCGCAGUCCACUUUCGUCCGCGUGGGUUCGAAUCCCACUUCUGGCA